Long non-coding RNA from Acanthopagrus latus (yellowfin seabream), 333 nucleotides. RefSeq lists it as uncharacterized. The transcript has 2 exons. Lineage: Eukaryota; Metazoa; Chordata; Actinopteri; Spariformes; Sparidae. The record is from RefSeq and is a predicted model, not a curated record.
CCGUGUUACUCCGAAACCUCCCUAUUCAUUAUAGAACAGCGUCGUUUAUCACAGUGCUGCUACUCGUUCCGCCACUUAUCAUCGCCCCGGUGGAAAAACAGACACGAAAGCAGACACCACACCGACUGAGUCCGUAGAUCUACCCGUAAGCUGAAACGGCGCAGUUUAAGGACCUCUGCCGUGAUGAGGUUUGGUCUGGGCGCAGCACGGGGCAGAGAGCACACGCUCACUCUCGGCAGCAUUGGGACCGCUCUGGGGAGGAGACCUGGCUGAUAUCAUGCUGGUGCCUGGCUCUGAAACAUUUAAAAAUACAAUAAAAUGUCACCCAUGUAA